UUGUUGGAGAGUUUGAUCCUGGCUCAGGACGAACGCUGGCGGCGUGCUUAACACAUGCAAGUCGAGCGGAAAGGCCCUUCGGGGUACUCGAGCGGCGAACGGGUGAGUAACACGUGAGCAACCUGCCCCAAGCUUUGGGAUAACCCUCGGAAACGGGGGCUAAUACCGAAUAUUCCUUCUGGCCGCAUG
This 189-nucleotide ribosomal RNA is filed under the name Micromonospora saelicesensis. Its description in RNAcentral is "partial 16S ribosomal RNA". It matches the Rfam family "Bacterial small subunit ribosomal RNA", at positions 1 to 192 of the family's 1533-position model. Lineage: Bacteria; Bacillati; Actinomycetota; Actinomycetes; Micromonosporales; Micromonosporaceae. The record is from RNAcentral.